UACAGGGGGUGCAAACGUUGCUCGGAAUCAUUGGGCGUAAAGCGCACGUAGGCGGUUCGUUAUGUCGGAUGUGAAAGCCCUUGGCUUAACCGAGGAAGUGCAUCCGAAACUGGCGAGCUAGAGUACUAAAGAGGAUCGCGGAAUUCCCGGUGUAGAGGUGAAAUUCGUAGAUAUCGGGAGGAACACCGGCGGCGAAGGCGGCGAUCUGGGUCGAUACUGACGCUGAGGUGCGAAAGCGUGGGGAGCAAACAGG
Molecule: ribosomal RNA, 253 nt
Filed under: uncultured bacterium
Lineage: Bacteria
Description: partial 16S ribosomal RNA
Rfam family: Bacterial small subunit ribosomal RNA
Source: RNAcentral